AAGCCAUGCGUAGGGCAAUUUCUUAUCAUUAAUUUCAUACUCUCCCAAGCUUGUGCAACAUGUUCAUCAUCUUGCUGUUUAAAAUUAAUUAUUUCAUUUCUAAGGAU
Molecule: non-coding RNA, 107 nt
Organism: Hordeum vulgare subsp. vulgare (domesticated barley)
Lineage: Eukaryota; Viridiplantae; Streptophyta; Magnoliopsida; Poales; Poaceae
Source: Rfam